This 91-nucleotide transfer RNA is filed under the name Parabacteroides sp. HGS0025. Its description in RNAcentral is "tRNA-Ile". It matches the Rfam family "tRNA". Rfam says of the family: Transfer RNA (tRNA) molecules are approximately 80 nucleotides in length. Their secondary structure includes four short double-helical elements and three loops (D, anti-codon, and T loops). The record is from RNAcentral. Lineage: Bacteria; Pseudomonadati; Bacteroidota; Bacteroidia; Bacteroidales; Tannerellaceae.
GCUGACGUAGCUUAACUGGGUUAGAGCGGCUUUUUGAUGCAUAUGAAUCAAAUAAAUAAGCAGAAUGCAGGUUCGAAUCCUGUCGUCAGCA